RNAcentral lists this ribosomal RNA (286 nucleotides) under Aeromonas salmonicida subsp. salmonicida. RNAcentral's name for it is "partial 16S ribosomal RNA". It matches the Rfam family "Bacterial small subunit ribosomal RNA", at positions 1 to 281 of the family's 1533-position model. Lineage: Bacteria; Pseudomonadati; Pseudomonadota; Gammaproteobacteria; Aeromonadales; Aeromonadaceae. The record is from RNAcentral.
AAAUUGAAGAGUUUGAUCAUGGCUCAGAUUGAACGCUGGCGGCAGGCCUAACACAUGCAAGUCGAGCGGCAGCGGGAAAGUAGCUUGCUACUUUUGCCGGCGAGCGGCGGACGGGUGAGUAAUGCCUGGGGAUCUGCCCAGUCGAGGGGGAUAACAGUUGGAAACGACUGCUAAUACCGCAUACGCCCUACGGGGGAAAGGAGGGGACCUUCGAGCCUUUCGCGAUUGGAUGAACCCAGGUGGGAUUAGCUAGUUGGUGGGGUAAUGGCUCACCAAGGCGACGAUC